Long non-coding RNA from Neofelis nebulosa (Clouded leopard), 1485 nucleotides. RefSeq lists it as uncharacterized. The transcript is spliced from 2 exons. The record is from RefSeq and is a predicted model, not a curated record. NCBI's taxonomy places the organism in Eukaryota, Metazoa, Chordata, Mammalia, Carnivora, Felidae.
CAUUGCAGGACUGUUUACAACUGUGAAAAAGUGAAAACGAUCUAACUGUCCCUUCUAGAGGACUAGAGAGAUGAAGCUAAGUGCCUCACUCUUCUAUGGAGGGUUUGAUGUGCCUCCAGUCCCCAUCAUCAUCAGUCUUUGAGAAUCACUGACAAGCAUAGAAUGGAAUUGUUACCUGCCAUUAUUUUGUUACAAUUUACUGCUUGUAAUUUUUGUUAUCAAAGUAAUAGCAUUUUCAUUUUCCCAAUUUGGAAGUAUAUUCUGAUAUUAAUUAUGCUUCUUAAAUCUGAGCAUGCCUUUUGGAAAUGCGUAUAUAUGCUCUCUCCAACCCCCUCUCACCUCAUACAAUUGGGAAUCACAGACAAAAAGAAUUAGCAGUACACAUACAUAUUUUUUGGAAAGCUCAUUAACAGAGUCUAAGAGAUAAGGGGACAAGUGUCAGAAUUGGAGCCAGGAGUCCUAGCUGGCUGUAACUGUGGAAUUAUUUUCUUAACUUUUCUGUGCUUUUCUUUCUUUAUCUUUAAAGUGGAGGUGUUGACUUACCACUAAAUCCUUUCCAGCUCUAAGGUUUUGUAAUUUUAUGAAACACAUGAGUGAAGUCAGUUAUAAAACUAAAUGGUGAUUAGAAUAUAUGAACUGAGGAAGAGCCAAAGGACUCCUCCGUGUCCCAAUAUCUCUUCCUCUGUCUUUGCCAGAGUGUCACUGUUUCAGAUUAAGGUACUGAAGGCUGAAAUUUGAAAGCAACUGUUCAUGUAAAUGUCUUGGUAGAAAUAAAUUUUAAGAUAAGUUUGUCAAAUUCCUGGCUUCCUAAAAGAUUCUGGGACACAGGGCUGGUAGUUUUGAUGAAAAGGUGAGCCAAGAUUGAGCCAGAGUGUUGAAAGCACUGCCUUAGGAGGGAUCCUUGCCCUUUAGAAGGAUGCAUAGGGCACUAUAUGCUUGGGAAUAAUGGAUCCUGAAUAAGGGAAAGAGUGGACAGAGGAGGGUGGAGCAGAACCAAAGACAGCAUUGUCACAAGUUCACAACAGCAGCUCUCAGUCACCUCUUAAAUUCCAGCUGAUGAAAGAACUGCUUGUCCGAGGGCUUGGGGGCCAUCCCAACAGGUCAUGACUCCACAGGGAAGAGGCACUGUAGUAGCUACCAGCAUUGCUGCAGCCUCAACUCAAUAUCCAUCAGGAGGGGGAAGACCAUGCACCCUGUGGGCUGAGCAAUACCACCUCCAGGCAUUAUGGCUCCUCCACCUAGGAUGAGACCACCCAUAGGCCCACCAACUGGGCUUCCCCCUGCUCGAAGGAUGCCAAUAGGCAUGUCCCUCCAGGAAUUAGACCUCCUCUACCAGGAAUCAGAGGUCCACCAAGACCCUAGAAUACUGUUGAUCCUUCUUAAGUCACUUGCCCCCCUGCAAUGUGUCUUGUGAAACUGUGUAAAGUAUGGGCUUUAGUUCCCUCUUUGCUGCAAUUAAAAAAAAAAGUUGUUUGUUUUAUGUAA